AACGCUAGCUACAGGCUUAACACAUGCAAGUCGAGGGGAAACGACAUCGAAAGCUUGCUUUUGAUGGGCGUCGACCGGCGCACGGGUGAGUAACGCGUAUCCAACCUGCCCACCACUUGGGGAUAACCUUGCGAAAGUAAGACUAAUACCCGAUGAUAUCCCUAGACGACAUCUGAAAGGGAUUAAAGAUUUAUCGGUGAUGGAUGGGGAUGCGUCUGAUUAGCUUGUUGGCGGGGUAACGGCCCACCAAGGCAACGAUCAGUAGGGGUUCUGAGAGGAAGGUCCCCCACAUUGGAACUGAGACACGGUCCAAACUCCUACGGGAGGCAGCAGUGAGGAAUAUUGGUCAAUGGGCGAGAGCCUGAACCAGCCAAGUAGCGUGCAGGAUGACGGCCCUAUGGGUUGUAAACUGCUUUUAUAAGGGAAUAAAGUGAGUCUCGUGAGACUUUUUGCAUGUACCUUAUGAAUAAGGACCGGCUAAUUCCGUGCCAGCAGCCGCGGUAAUACGGAAGGUCCGGGCGUUAUCCGGAUUUAUUGGGUUUAAAGGGAGCGUAGGCCGGAGAUUAAGCGUGUUGUGAAAUGUAGACGCUCAACGUCUGCACUGCAGCGCGAACUGGUUUCCUUGAGUACGCACAAAGUGGGCGGAAUUCGUGGUGUAGCGGUGAAAUGCUUAGAUAUC
This 679-nucleotide ribosomal RNA is filed under the name uncultured bacterium. RNAcentral's name for it is "bacterial SSU rRNA". It matches the Rfam family "Bacterial small subunit ribosomal RNA", at positions 32 to 698 of the family's 1533-position model. The record is from RNAcentral.